AGUGAACGCUGGCGGUAGGCCUAACACAUGCAAGUCGAACGGCAGCACAGUAAGAGCUUGCUCUUACGGGUGGCGAGUGGCGGACGGGUGAGGAAUACAUCGGAAUCUACUUUUUCGUGGGGGAUAACGUAGGGAAACUUACGCUAAUACCGCAUACGACCUACGGGUGAAAGCAGGGGAUCUUCGGACCUUGCGCGAUUGAAUGAGCCGAUGUCGGUUUAGCUAGUUGGCGGGGUAAAGGCCCACCAAGGCGACGAUCCGUAGCGGGUCUGAUAGGAUGACCAGCCACACUGGAACUGAGACACGGUCCAGACUCCUACGGGAGGCGGCAGUGGGGAAUUUUGGACAAUGGGCGCAAGCCUGAUCCAGCCAUACCGCGUGGGUGAAGAAGGCCUUCGGGUUUUAAAGCCCUUUUGUUGGGAAAGAAGAGCAGCAGGUUAAAACCCCGCUGUUCUGACGGUACCCAAAGAAUAAGCACCGGCUAACUUCGUG
RNAcentral lists this ribosomal RNA (492 nucleotides) under uncultured bacterium. RNAcentral describes it as "partial 16S ribosomal RNA". It matches the Rfam family "Bacterial small subunit ribosomal RNA", at positions 29 to 507 of the family's 1533-position model. The record is from RNAcentral.